Molecule: long non-coding RNA, 1362 nt
Filed under: Phaseolus vulgaris (common bean)
Lineage: Eukaryota; Viridiplantae; Streptophyta; Magnoliopsida; Fabales; Fabaceae
Description: long non-coding RNA (PVUL_LNC004166)
Source: RNAcentral
CUAUGUGUAUCACGUGUAUGCUUGCUCUGUUGAGUUAAUUACAUCAUAUACAGGCUUAGACUAUUGAAUAUUUACUCAGAAAAGAAGGACAACAGUCUGGAAUUUUGAAUUAUUUGUGGGAUUUAGAUGACUUGGGAGAUGAUUGGUUUUUAAUUUAUUUUUUCUUGGCAGAUAUUUCAUAAUUGUUUGGUAGUCCUUGUUGAAAUUUUUUGAAUUAUGGCUCUAGGUUGCUAAGAUAUAAAUUUUGUAAGUAUUAUGAUGUUGCUGCAGUGGUUUAGCCUUUCUAUGGGGACUGAUUGACAGAUAAAAGUUCUGGGGUGGAACUUUAUGCACUAAUUUUUAAGUGAAGUGCCUAGUUAAUUAUUAUGUUAUCUGCCUACAGGAUGCCAGUAUUAUACAUUGUGAGUAGACCUGAAUACAACUCAAUAAUAAAUAUCAUUAGGUUUUAACAUUGAAUAAAUACACUGCGGUUACAUUCAAAUGUUACUAAAUUCCUACUAUAUUAAUCUAUUGCGUCUUAUAUUGAUAAGCUAUGAUAUACCUUGUGCUUUUUAUUCAUAUCUUAAGCUUUUAACAUACUCUAUAAUACGCUUCUUAUCAUUAUUUAAAAUUUAUUACAAACUAACUACAAAAUCAUGAGUUGGCGAUUCUUAAAUAAAGAAUGAGACUUACACAUGUUUGUAAUUUUAUAAUAAAUUUCAGUCAAUAAUACUUGUGUUUAAAAAGGGGUUUUACUGGUAUUUUUUGAUCUAAUAUUUAUCCCCUUUCCUAUCUACAAAAUUUGGAGCUAAUCUCAUUUUGCUUCAGUUAAUCAAUCAUAAUUUCAAACAGCACUGGCAUCAACUAGCUAAUCAGCUUAUAAUUUUGCUUGUUUGGACUGUGCUUAUUUUUAGAAAUUGAUUACUUUCCUCAGAUUUCUCGGGAAGUUUUUGGGGGAGAAGAAUAUUAUUUUCCUAAAAAUAAGUUUUCCCAGACGUUCAGUAGUAUCUUUGGUAUGCAUAUCGUUAAAAAAUGUUACCUAUAUAGACUUUCAUUAACUAAAUAAAAAAAAAAAACUGGCCUGCAUGAAAUAACCGAGUAAACUUACUGAUGGUUUUAGUUUUUUUAAUAAAAUUUUGGGUUGAAGAUCAUGAUAUUAGUCGGUGAUUUGAGCUUUCCUUGCAUGCAACUUUCUUUUGCAGUAUCAAAUAUCUGAUGAUAGAAUCUGCUUUUGGGUUUAUAAUGGUCUUUAUUUGGUAAUUUGAUGUUCUUUAUCUUGGGGAUGCAGAUGGUGCUGGUGGCAAAGGCACUUGGGGGAAAUUGCUUGAUACUGAUAUUGUUUCUCACAUAGAUCGAAAUGAUCCAAAUUAUGACAGUGGCGAG